CAGAAGUCCUUCUGUCCGUAAAGCACAGCGCAACAAGAGAGAAACUUACAGACUUGUGUGUUCUUUGGAGGACAAUGACAAUGACACAGAUGAGGAAAUGAAUCACUGGAGCAGUAGAUGCCGGCCUGAGAGGACGUCAGAGAAGAUGCACUCUGAUUGGGCGAAGAUGAAAGAGCGGCUCUCCACACUCCGACAAAAAUGUGAAAAGGAGGAGCAGACACUACAGAACAAGAAGACUCAGUUAAAAGAUGUUGAGCUCUGCCUCUCCGAACUUCAACAGAGAAGAAAGCAUGCCUUGCAGGAAUUAGAGCAACUGACUGUAGAGACAGCAAAGAUGGAGAAGGAGAGGAGGACUCUGGAGUUCAUUCUGAGAGACAGUAGGGCAGGGAAAGACUCUAUUAGUUGCCAGCUGCAUGAGCUGCAGAGGCAGAGAGAGUCCUGUACCCUCGAGGUGAGAGACAUGAAAGAAGAACUCGCAACUCUGAGUCAAAGUAAACAGACUCUUAAGGAUUCGGCCUUCACGGAGAGGCCCAGUGUCGUCAUGUCAGUGCUGGAGAGAGAGGAGAUGGAAAGACAGCUGGAUAAUGCCAAAACAGAACUGUUUGCUGAACAGCGACGUGCAAGAGAGAAGCAAGAGUCCAUGCAAGAAAAGUUGGAGGAGACUCGUGAGGAGCUCCAGAGGGUUACAGAGGCAGAGAGCUUACUGAGGAACAGCUGUGUUUGUCUGGAGGAGAAACAGAGGCAGAAAAAGGAUCACAUCGAGGCGGUAGAGUUUCAAGUAAGCGAGCUGCAGGGUGAACUGGGAGAAUGCAAGAUCAGAGUGGGCACUCAGGAGAAGAUGUUGGCCCAGAAGGAGCUGCAGCUACUAGAUUUACAGGAGCAACGUGGGGCCUUACAAGCAGAAAGUGAUGGGCUGAAGGGGGAGCUACAACACCUGAACACCCAGCACUGCAAUGCACGGAAAGAGGUCCAUGAGCAAGCUCAUAGAAUGAUGGUAUGUGCUGUGUUUUUUAAGACUACAAGUCAUGUUUUUUG
Molecule: long non-coding RNA, 1035 nt
Filed under: Sander lucioperca (pikeperch)
Lineage: Eukaryota; Metazoa; Chordata; Actinopteri; Perciformes; Percidae
Description: lncRNA (ENSSLUG00000006999.1)
Source: RNAcentral